Molecule: ribosomal RNA, 468 nt
Filed under: uncultured bacterium
Lineage: Bacteria
Description: partial 16S ribosomal RNA
Rfam family: Bacterial small subunit ribosomal RNA
Source: RNAcentral
GACGAACGCUGGCGGCGUGCUUAACACAUGCAAGUCGAACGGAAAGGCCCUGCACUUGUGGGGUGCUCGAGUGGCGAACGGGUGAGUAACACGUGAGUAACCUGCCCUUGACUUUGGGAUAACUUCAGGAAACUGGGGCUAAUAUCGGACAUGAGCACCUGCUGCAUGGUGGGGGUUGGAAAGUUUCGGCGGUUGGGGAUGGACUCGCGGCCUAUCAGCUUGUUGGUGGGGUAGUGGCUUACCAAGGCUUUGACGGGUAGCCGGCCUGAGAGGGUGACCGGCCACAUUGGGACUGAGAUACGGCCCAGACUCCUACGGGAGGCAGCAGUGGGAAAUAUUGCACGAUGGGCGGAAGCAUGAUGCAGCAACGCCGCGUGCGGGAUGACGGCCUUCGGGUUGUAAACCGCUUUCGCCUGUGACGAAGCGUGAGUGACGGUAAUGGGUAAAGAAGCACCGGCUAACUACGUG